CUCUCUCUGCCUUCUCCUGGUGACUGCUUCUGUUUGGGGGUGAACCACACUGCUCCCACAUAGCUCCUCUUUGGGGGGAGUCGCUGCAGUCCUGCUCCACGCCUGAGCUGAUUUUCUAAAUGCGCCCCCACCCCCAGCCCCCAGCUACAAGAAACCGCUCAGUGUUUGGAGCUUUCAAAGCGUAUUUGCAUAGUGAUAGCCUUUCCGGGUCUCCCCGUGGCCUUUGCUGUGCUCAGCGGAACAUAGUGGAAGACUGAGAAGCGUUACACAAUAGAAGAGCUUUCCCUGCGUGGCUAGGGCGUCUCCUGUGUAUUGUCAGCCUGAGAUGCGCUUUUCCUUCCCCCACGCUGGAGGUGGGAUGCGGGCCCUGUGCAAGUCGGGCAGCGCUCUGCCGAAAGGCGUUUCACAGUCCUGAGUCGAUUCUGUGCGUGCAAGCUGAGAAGCUGAGUCAGCUAGUCCACUUGCUUUCCCUCGGUCACCUCAGCAGCACAUGCAACCAGGACGACAGAGGUCCAGUCUGCCUGGAAGACCCCACUGCUGGGCGAGCAGUCAUGGGAGAAUGACACACAAGAUCCUUCGGCAGACAUCUCUGAUGCCAAACGCCCCCACCAUGCUUCUGUCUGGACACACCUGCCAGGGGCAACAGAAUGACUGCCACCUUCUACAGGCUGCAGUGCAGGAUGCCGGGAGGUCAGAAGGCGAUGAACCACAAACAUUCUGAGAUGCCGCCGGUUCCUGCAGCAUGCCCAGCAGGCCUGGGUUCAAGUCGAGCCUCAAUGCUCCUGUGCAAGCAGCAGAGCCACACCUCUCUCAGGAGGCGGGGACUCAGAAAGAGGGACUGCAGGAAGGACCCAGGGAGGUCUCAGUGGACAGGAAGCACUAUUACUCUCCCAGAACAUCACCAUCCACACACCCAGCUCCCAGAGGGUGACGGUGUACCGGUCCCACAAAGACAGCCUGAGACGCAUUGCUGUCUGUCUCUGGUGUGGAAGGAGGCCCCAGCUAAAGGUAGCAGUGCACCGAGCUCACGGAGGCUGGACACUUGGAGCCUAGUCUACCGAUCCCAGGAAUGGAUGCCCUCUAUCCUCCCACAGUCUGCGAGACGUUAACUGUCUCACCCUUCUCAUGCAAGGACAGAAUCCUGCGCUGAGGCCUCACACGCCCUGGCAGAGGCCAGGACUGUCCUGAACCAGGCAGGGGGGUGGGCAUGAUCGCCCACAGACCCUCCAUAGGCUGUCUCCACUCCACAGGUGAAGGCAUAAAGGCCAGGAGAGGACACAGAGCAAGGACCUGGCACAGCAAAGGCUGGUGGUCCACAGGCCCGCACCAUCCCACGCCAGGUAGCAGUCCGCUGAUGGUAGCAGCCCGCUGAGCGUCCGCUACAUAUUUAAGUGAGGAUGAAAAACGCCAUUUGUCAUUAAUUAAGCGAGGCAGGACAGCAGCUGGGUUGGCUCAGGAAGGCGAUGCCAGUCUGAGGUUGGUUCUGCAUUUGGGGGACAGGCAGGGAGUCUGGAGGACAAGGCUGCUCCCCAGGUGCCUGUGGUGGGGCUGGACCUGGCCUUCCUGUCACCAGGAGGCCUUGCUUGCUCCAGCCUCAGGAUCUUGGCAUUGACGGCUCUUCCAGCCUGGACUGACGUCCCACACUUAGGAGUACCUGCAGGCCUCUGCCUCACCUUGGGCACUCACAGCCUGGAUGUCUCCUGCCCCCCAUCACUAUUCUGUCACCGCUGUGGUCUCUCCACAGCAGGCCAUCAUGACCUUGUCUACUUAUGCGGGGCUAGACACUGGAAAGAGAUCUGUCAGAAGUGGAAAGUCAGCCCCUCCAAACACCCUAAACACAGAGUAGGCUCCCAACACACACACACACACACACACACACACACACACACACACACACACGUGUGACGCCAUCUAUAAGUCACUUUGACUCUUUUUUAGCCCACCUCUCUCUUUGGUCCAUAGACGUAAACGUCAUUUCACCAGGGAGGAAAACUGAGGCAGGGUGGAGGUCGCCUCUCACAAGCCUCCAACUCAAGGCACCUGCAUGGACACCCUGAAUCUUACCUCAGGGUCACAGAGUCCAGCUGCAUGGCCAGAUGCCUGGACACGAAUCUAGGCUCUCCCUGGCUGAGGACCCUCUUGCAAGCAGGAGGCUAAGGCAGAAGUAGUGCCAGUUUGGGGCUAACCUGGCCUUCAGAGUGAAGGCCUGUCUCAAAAGCAAUCAGUUUGGGGCUAACCUGGCCUUCAGAGUAAACCCCUGUCUCAAAAGCAAUCGGUUGGAGGCUGGGGAAGUAGCUCAGUGGGUAAAGUGCUCACUGCACAAGCAUGAAGGUCUGAGUUCAAUCCCUACAGGUCACAUAAAAAGCCAGGGACCAUGGUGCACAUCUGUAAUCCCAGCUCUGCAGAGGCAGACAGCAGGGUCCUGGGACUCACUGGUCAGCGACUCUAUCAGCUCUGUGAGCUCCAGGUCAGUGAGAGCCUGACUCAAAAACUACAAUCUGGAGCAAUAGGGACACUCAAUGUCAGCCUCCGGCCUCCACAUCCCUUCACACAUGCAUGCCCACAUAUGCACCCCUCCCACAAGCACAAAUAAGUGAAUAAUGUGGAGAUCUGGGGAAGAAGACACUGACAUCAACCUUCACACGCAUGAGCACAUACAUAAGAACAUGUUCACAGGCUCGCAUACACAAAUUAGCUUUUAAAAAUCAAUUUUAUUUAAAAAAAAAGACAACAAAACAACAAAAAAUCCAAAGAGGUAAGUGCCGUUGUCCUUAUUUUACAAGCGGGGAAACAUAGGGAUAUGAUGCCACUUCAGAACAGAACUGAGCCUGAAUCCCAGGUCUAUCUAUGCCCAGAGGCCUUCCUGAUGGGGAAUUUGCAGAAACAGAGUGACAGCAGCCUGCCUCCAGCCUGAGACCCAACUCCUGUGAGAGGCUGUGCAGUGGAGACAGAGCGUGACUUCCCUAAGGCUCCUGGGCUGUGAGAUCGUCAUGGCGACAGCGGAACACAACAGCUAACAUCCACAAAGCCGUUCAGUACCUCUCGUCAACUCAGUCUUCCAGAGAUGUGGGAAGCAGAGGUCAUCCAAACACCUGGAUCCAGCUGUGCCUGAAGCAACCCAUCUCUAAAAUGUCUUUAAUGUGA
Long non-coding RNA from Mesocricetus auratus (golden hamster), 3144 nucleotides. RefSeq lists it as uncharacterized. NCBI's taxonomy places the organism in Eukaryota, Metazoa, Chordata, Mammalia, Rodentia, Cricetidae. The transcript has 2 exons. The record is from RefSeq and is a predicted model, not a curated record.